AUCAAAGCGAUGACUGGGACGAGUACUUGACGUCCAGCGGAGGCCAGCGAACCGGGGGAAUGGUGCGAGCCCGGACUUCGGCGGUCAAGGAAUAUCCCCCAGGAGCAUCUCUUGAACCUCAUUCCGGAAGUAAAGAGCAUCGGCUGAUCCCGUUAUCGAUCAUGGAGCGAAGACUUCGAGCCGGGCAGCGGCCGUGAACGACACGGGCGAUUGUUUCGACGAUUCGUCGUCUUAAACAGGGUGGUACCGCGAGACUUCUCGUCCCUUAG
RNAcentral lists this non-coding RNA (269 nucleotides) under Paenibacillus sp. RNAcentral's name for it is "T-box sequence". It matches the Rfam family "T-box leader". Rfam says of the family: Uncharged tRNA acts as the effector for transcription antitermination of genes in the T-box leader family. T-boxes are found upstream of many aminoacyl-tRNA synthetase genes and some amino acid biosynthetic genes usually in Gram-positive bacteria. The record is from RNAcentral. Lineage: Bacteria; Bacillati; Bacillota; Bacilli; Caryophanales; Paenibacillaceae.